UCUUGAAGUAAUUUUUUGAAGCCACAUUUUUUGGAACAACAUAAUUUGAAGUCAUAGCCAACCAAUAAUCUUUUGGACUUAGAAGCAAUAUAGCACUAAUAUUUUGAACUCGGGAAGCUAAUAUUUUGGACUCAAGGAAGCAACAUAGGCAUAAUCUUUUGGCUUGCAACUCAUGGUGAUGUUGUAGAUGUUAGAGGACUGUCUAAAGGUCUUGUUUCUUGUAAAGUUUCGGAAUUUAUUUAUGCUAAUCUGAAGAAACUCAAGUGCAUAUGAGAGAUAAAGCAAUGGAGGAUCACAAGGAAAUUAAACUGAUUUUGAAUUCUUGUCAUGGUAUGAUAUUCUUAGUUGUGAAUUAUUGUUACUGAGUUGGAAACUGAUUCUAAACUUUUGCAGUUAAGUUACUAUUUUUCUUUCUAAUUAGCAGCACUAAUAAUGUGAUAUUAAUAAAUUUGCAGGAUGCCUCAAUCUUUUACUGAUUUUUAGUGCACAAGAGAUCGACCAUAUGUUCUUAACAAUUGACAACAAAACUUUGUAAUAUUUGAUACAUUUAAAUUUCAUUUGGGUUGGCUGUGAUGUGAGCUGUCAAUGAUGAAUGUGUUGUAAUAUUUUAUUGUAUUUAAAGUUCUAAUACCUCUAAACUUUGGAAUUAUGUGGUCCAAUGGAGGAUUUAUUUUCGGUUUGUAUGUUAUUAAUACUCUAAUGCCUCUAAAGCUUGGAAAUAUGUGGCAUACUGGAGGAUUUAUAUUAA
Trifolium pratense (red clover) is the source of this 748-nucleotide long non-coding RNA. RefSeq lists it as uncharacterized. Lineage: Eukaryota; Viridiplantae; Streptophyta; Magnoliopsida; Fabales; Fabaceae. The transcript is spliced from 3 exons. The record is from RefSeq and is a predicted model, not a curated record.